CUCUCAAAUUCGUUCUUCACGAGUCUUUCUGAGCACAAUUUUCCCUCUCUCUGGGAAAACCCCCUUUAAUGAUGACAUUGAAGCCACUAAGAAAUCAUCAUUUACAUCGUAUGCUUUUCAAUCAGGCAACCGGAACAGAUUGCAGAGAAUAUAAGAGAGGAUGCACCAAAACACUAGUCACCCUUCAUCAACAGGGUGAACAAAUUACUAGGAGUCACCGUGUUGCUGUUGACAUUGACCACGAUUUAAGUCGGGGGAAAAGCUCCUGGGAAGCCUUGGUGGCCUCCAAAACUUGGAAACGAAAGAAGGCACUAGCAAUAACAGGCCCAGUUACUGUUGGAGUUCCAACCUCCCUGUAUUUGAAGUCCCGUUGUUGUAGCCUUCUUCAUGUUGUUGUACUAUCUGCAAGCCAGGAGCUUUAUAUUGAAUUGAUGGGUAACAAAGAUUGCUUUUGAGCAUAAUAUCACGAUUUGUGAGACUCAUUUAAUGUGAAAUUUAUGGAUUAGAAUGUGCGCUUUAUAUUGAAUUUAUGGAUAACAAAUAUUGCUUUUGAGCAUAGUAUGCCAGUUUGUGAGACUCAUUUCUUGUGGGAUUGAUGGAUUCAAUGUGGGCUUUAUAUUAAAAUUUUUCAUCUCAUAAAACGAUUCAAAGUGUUAAAUCAGAUAUACUCAUCCACUAUCUUGACUAUAAUUAAAUAAUUCAAAUUCUGUUGCCUAAUUCACAUUGUGAAUAUACUCAUGUUACGCAACCAAUAUUCCACUUGAAAUCUCUCACUAUCAUUUUGCCUUAAGAAAUAGCCACACACAGAAUAAAGCAUUCAUCUUGUAUUAUAAUCAACAACUUACAUAUAAGCUUCGUAUGGAAUUGAUGGAUUACAAUGUUGGCUUUAUAUUGAAUUUAUGAAAAACAAAGGUUGCUUUUGAGCAUAGUAUAACAAUUUCUAUAGCUCAUUUCAUGCGGAAUUGAUGAAUUAAAAUGUGGGCUUUAUAUUGAAUUUACGGAUAAUAUAGAUUGCUUUUGAGCAUAAUAUAACGGUUUGUGCGCUCAUUUUGUGUGGAAUUGAUGAAUUAAAAUGUGGGCUUUAUAUUGAAUUUAUGGAUACCAAGGAUUGCUUUUGAGCAUGAUAUGACGACUUGUGAGACUUAUUUUGUGUCGAAUUGAUGGAUUAGAAAGUGGGCUCUAUAUUGAAUUUAUGGAUAACAAAUAUUGCCUUUGAGCAUAGUAUGCCGGUUUGUGGGACUCAUUUCUUGUGGGAUUUAUGGAUUACAAUGUGGGUUUUAUACUAACAAUUUUCAUCUCAUAAAACGAUUCAAAGUGUUAAAUCAGAUAUACUCAUCUACUACCUUGACUAUGAUUAAAUAAUUCAAAUUCUGUUACCUAAUUCACAUUGUGGAUAUACUCAUGUUACACAACCAAUAUUCCACUUGUAAUCUCUCACUAUCAUUUUGCCUUAAGAAAGAGCCACCCAUAGAAUAAAGCAUUCAUCUUGUAUUAUAAGCAACAACUUACAUAUAAGCUUCAUAUGGAAUUGAUGGAUUACAAUGUCGGUUUUAUAUUGAAUUUAUGAAAAACAAAGAUUGCUUUUGAGCAUAGUAUGACAAUUUCUAUAGCUCAUUUCGUGUGGAAUUGAUGGAUUAAAAUGUGGGCUUUAUAUAAAAUUUACGGAUAAUAAAUAUUGCUUUUGAGCAAAAUAUGACGGUUUGUGAGCUCAUUUCGUGUGGAAUUGAUGGAUUAAAAUAUGAGCUUUAUAUUGAUUUUACGGAUAAUAAAUAUUGCUUUUGAGUAUAAUAUGACGGUUUGUGAGCUCAUUACGUGUGGAAUUGAUAAAUUAAAAUGUGUGCUUUAUAUUGAAUUUAUGGAUAACAAAUAUUGUUGUUGAGCAUAGUAUGCCGGUUUGUGAGACUCAUUUCUUGUGGGAUUGAUGGAUUAUAAUGUGGGCUUUAUAUUAAAAAUUUUCAUCUAAUAAAACGAUUCAAAGUGCUAAAUCAGAUAUACUCAUCCACUAUCUUGACUAUGAUUAAAUAAUUCAAAUUCUGUUAACUAAUUCACAUUGUGGAUAUACUCAUGUUACCCAACCAAUAUUCCACUUGUAAUCUCUCACUAUCAUUUUGCCUUAAGAAAGAGCCACCCAUAGAAUAAAGCAUUCAUCUUGUAUUAUAAGCAACAACUUACAUAUAAGCUUCGUAUGGAAUUGAUGGAUUACAAUGUCGGCUUUAUAUUGAAUUUAUGAAAAACAAAGAUUGCUUUUGAGCAUAGUAUGACAAUUUCUAUAGCUCAUUUCGUGUGGAAUUGAUGGAUUAAAAUGUGGGCUUUAUAUAAAAUUUACGGAUAAUAAAUAUUGCUUUUUGAGCAAAAUAUGACGGUUUGUGAGCUCAUUACGUGUGGAAUUGAUGGAUUAAAAUAUGAGCUUUAUAUUGAAUUUACGGAUAAUAAAUAUUGCUUUUGAGUAUAAUAUGACGGUUUGUGAGCUCAUUACGUGUGGAAUUGAUGAAUUAAAAUGUGUGCUUUAUAUUUGAAUUUAUGGAUAACAAAGAUUGCUUUUGAGCAUGGUAUGACGAUUUGUGAGACUCAUUUUGUGUGGAAUUGAUGGAUUAGAAUGUGGGCUUUAUAUUGAAUUUAUGGAUAACAAAUAUUGCUUUUGAGCAUAGUAUGCCGGUUUGUGAGACUCAUUUCUUGUGGGAUUGAUGGAUUACAAUGUGAGCUUUAUAUUAAAAUUUUUCAUCUCAUAAAACGAUUCAAAGUGUAAAAUCAGAUAUACUCAUCCACUAUCUUGACUAUGAUUAAAUAAUUCAAAUUCUGUUGCCUAAUUCUCAAUGUGGAUAUACUCAUGUUACACAACAAAUAUUCAACUUGAAAUCUCUCACUAUCAUUUUGCCUAAAGAAAUAGCCACAUAGAGAAUAAAGCAUUCAUCUUGUAUUAUAAGCAACAACUUACAUAUAAGCUUCGUAUGGAAUUGAUGAAUUACAAUGUGAGCUUUAUAUUGAAUUUAUGAAAAACAAAGAUGGCUUUUGAGCAUGGUAUGAUAAUUUCUUUAGCUCAUUUCGUGUGGAAUUGAUGGAUUAAAAUGUCGGUUUUAUAUUGAAUUUAUGGAUAACAAAGAUUGCUUUUGAGCAUGGUAUGACGAUUUGUGAGGCUAAUUUCGUUUGGAAUUGAUGGAUUACAAUGUGGGUAUUAUAUUGAAUUUAUGAAUAACAAAUAUUGCUUUUGAGCAUAAUAUGACAGUUUGUGAGACUUAUUUUGUGUGAAAUUGAUGGAUUAGAAUCUGGACUUUAUAUGGAAUUUAUGGAUAACAAAUAUUUCUUUGUAGCAUAGUAUGCCGGUUUGUGAGACUCAUUUCUUGUGGGAUUGAUGGAUUAUAAUGUGGGCUUUAUAUUAAAAAUUUUCAUCUAAUAAAACGAUUCAAAGUGCUAAAUCAGUUAUACUCAUCCACUAUCUUGACUAUGAUUAAAUAAUUCAAAUUUUGUUACCUAAUUCACAUUGUGGAUAUACUCAUGUUAUAUAACCAAUAUUCCACUUGUAAUCUCUCACUAUCAUUUUGCCUUAAGAAAUAGCCACACACAGAAUAAAGCAUUCAUCUUGUAUUUCAAGCAACAACUUACAUAUAAGCUUCGUAUGGAAUUGAUGGAUUACAGUGUCGGCUUUAUAUUGAAUUUAUGAAAAACAAAGAUUGCUUUUGAGCAUAGUAUGAUAAUUUUUAUAGCUCAUUUCGUGUGGAAUUGAUGGACUAAAAUGUGGGUUUUAUAUUGAAUUUAUGAAUAAUAAAUAUUGCUUUUGAGCAUAAUAUGACGGUUUGUGAGCUCAUUACGUGUGGAAUUGAUGAAUUAAAGUGUGGGUUUUAUAUUGAAUUUAUGGAUAACAAAGAUUGCUUUUGAGCAUGAUAUGACAAUUUGUGAGGCUCAUUUCGUUUGGAAUUGAUGAAAUACAAUGUGGGUUUUAUAUUGAAUUUAUGAAUAACAAAUAUUGCUUUUGAGCAUAAUAUGACAGUUGUUGAGACUCAUUUUGUGUGAAAUUGAUGGAUUAGAAUGUGGGCUUUAUAUUGAAUUUAUGGAUAACAAAUAUUGUUGUUGAGCAUAGUAUGCCGGUUUGUGAGACUCAUUUCUUGUGGGAUUGAUGGAUUAUAAUGUGGGCUUUAUAUUAAAAAUUUUCAUCUAAUAAAACGAUUCAAAGUGCUAAAUCAGAUAUACUCAUCCACUAUCUUGACUAUGAUUAAAUAAUUCAAAUUCUGUUAACUAAUUCACAUUGUGGAUAUACUCAUGUUACACAACCAAUAUUCCACUUGUAAUCUCUCACUAUCAUUUUGCCUUAAGAAAUAGCCACACACAGAAUAAAGCAUUCAUCUUGUAUUAUAAGCAACAACUUACAUAUAAGCUUCGUAUGGAAUUGAUGGAUUACAAUGUCGGCUUUAUAUUGAAUUUAUGAAAAACAAAGAUUGCUUUUGAGCAUAGUAUGAUAAUUUUUUUAUCUCAUUUCGUGUGGAAUUGAUGGAUUAAAAUGUGAGUUUUAUAUUGAAUUUACGGAUAAUAAAUAUUGCUUUUGAGCAUAAUAUGACGGUUUGUGAGCUCAUUACGUGUGGAAUUGAUGAAUUAAAAUGUGGGUUUUAUAUUGAAUUUAUGGAUAACAAAGAUUGCUUUUGAGCAUGAUAUGACGAUUUGUGAGGCUCACUUCGUUUGGAAUUGAUGAAAUAAAAUAUGGGUUUUAUAUUGAAUUUAUGAAUAACAAAUAUUGCUUUUGAGCAUAAUAUGACAGUUUACAAGACUCAUUUUUUGUGAAAUUGAUGGAUUAGAAAGUGGGCUUUAUAUUGAAUUUAUGGAUAACAAAUAUUGCUUUUGAGCAUAGUAUGCCGGUUUGUGAGACUCAUUUCUAGUGGGAUUGAUGGAUUACAAUGUGGGCUUUAUAUUAAAAAUUUUCUUCUCAUAAAACGAUUCAAAGUGUUAAAUCAUAUAUACUCAUCCACUAUCUUGAGUAUGAUUAAAUAAUUCAAAUUAUGUUGCUAAAUUCUCAAUGUAGAUAUACUCAUGUUACCCCACCAAUAUUCCACUUGUAAUCUCUCACUAUCAUUUUGCCUUAAGAAAUAGUCACAUACAGAAUAAAGCAUUCAUCUUGUAUUAUAAGCAACAACUUACAUAUAAGCUUCGUAUGGAAUUGAUGAAUUACUAUGUGGGCUUUAUAUUGAAUUUAUGAAAAACAAAGAUUGCUUUUGAGCAUAGUAUGAUAAUUUUUAUAGCUCAUUUUGCGUGGAAUUGAUAGAUUAAAAUGUGGGCUUUAUAUUAAAUUUACGGAUAAUAUAGAUUGCUUUUGAGCAUAAUAUGGCGGUUUGUGAGCUCAUUACGUGUGGAAUUGAUGAAUUAAAAUGUGGUUUUUAUAUUGAAUUUAUGGAUAACAAAGAUUGUUUUUGAGCAUGGUAUGACGAUUUGUGAGACUCAUUUCAUUUGGAAUUGAUGAAAUACAAUGUGGGUUUUAUAUUGAAUUUAUGAAUAACAAAUAUAUCUUUUGAGCAUAAUAUGACAGUUUACGAGACUCAUUUUGUGUGGAAUUGAAGGAUUAGAAAGUGGGCUUUAUAUUGAAUUUAUGGAUAACAAAUAUUGCUUUUGAGCAUAGUAUGUCGGUUUGUGAGACUCAUUUCUAGUGGGAUUGAUGGAUUACAAUGUGGGCUUUAUAUUAAAAAUUUUCUUCUCAUAAAACGAUUCAAAGUGUUAAAUCAUAUAUACUCAUCCACUAUCUUGAGUAUGAUUAAAUAAUUCAAAUUAUGUUGCUAAAUUCUCAAUGUAGAUAUACUCAUGUUACCCCACCAAUAUUCCACUUGUAAUCUCUCACUAUCAUUUUGCCUUAAGAAAUAGUCACAUACAGAAUAAAGCAUUCAUCUUGUAUUAUAAGCAACAACUUACAUAUAAGCUUCGUAUGGAAUUGAUGAAUUACUAUGUGGGCUUUAUAUUGAAUUUAUGAAAAACAAAGAUUGGUUUUGAGCAUAGUAUGAUAAUUUUUAUAGCUCAUUUUGCGUGGAAUUGAUAGAUUAAAAUGUGGGCUUUAUAUUAAAUUUACGGAUAAUAUAGAUUGCUUUUGAGCAUAAUAUGGCGGUUUGUGAGCUCAUUACGUGUGGAAUUGAUGAAUUAAAAUGUGGUUUUUAUAUUGAAUUUAUGGAUAACAAAGAUUGUUUUUGAGCAUGGUAUGACGAUUUGUGAGGCUCAUUUCAUUUGGAAUUGAUGAAAUACAAUGUGGGUUUUAUAUUGAAUUUAUGAAUAACAAAUAUAUCUUUUGAGCAUAAUAUGACAGUUUACGAGACUCAUUUUGUGUGGAAUUGAAGGAUUAGAAUGUGGGCUUUAUAUUGAAUUUAUGGAUAACAAAUAUUGCUUUUGAGCAUAGUAUGUCGGUUUGUGAGACUCUUUUCUUGUGUGAUUGGUGGAUUACAAUGUGGGCUUUAUAUUAAAAAUUUUCAUCUCAUAAAACAAUUCAAUGUUUUAAAUCAAAUAUACUCAUCCACUAUCUUGAGUGUGAUUAUAUAAUUCAGUUUAUGUUGCCUAAUUCUCAAUGUGGAUAUACUCAUGUUACACAACCAAUAUUCAACUUGUAAUCUCUUACUAUCCUUUUGCCUUAAGAAAUAGCCAUACACAGAAUAAAGCAUUCAUCUUGUAUUAUAAGCAACAACUUACAUAUAAGCUUCGUAUGGAAUUGAUGAAUUACAAUGUGGCUUUAUAUUGAAUUUAUGAAAAACAAAGAUUGCUUUUGAGCAUAGUAUGAUAAUUUCUAUAGCUCAUUUCGUGUGGAUUUGAUGGAUUAAAAUGUGGGUUUUAUAUUAAAUUUAUGGAUAAUAUAGAUUGCUUUUGAGCAUAAUAUGACCGUUUGUGAGCUCAUUUCGUGUGGAAUUGAUGAAUUAAAAUGUGGGCUUUAUAUUGAAUUUAUGGAUAACAAAAACUAAUUUUGAUCAUAGUAUGAAGAUUUAGAGGCUCAUUUCGUUUGGAAUUGAUGGACUACAAUGUGGGUUUUAUAUUGAAUUUAUGAAUAACAAAUAUUGUUUUUGAGCAUAAUAUGACAGUUUGUAAGACUCAUUUUGUGUGGAAUUGAUGGAUUAGAAUGUGGGCUUUAUAUUGAAUUUAUGGAUAACAAAUAUUGCUUUUGAGCAUAGUGUGCCGGUUUGUGAGACUCAUUUCUUGUGGAAUUGAUGGAUUACAAUGUGGGUUUUAUAUUGAAUUUAUGAAAAACAAAGAUUACUUUUGAGCAUAGUAUGACAAUUUCUAAGGCUCAUUUUAUGUGGAAUUGAUGGAUUAAAAUGUGGGUUUUAUAUUGAAUUUAUGGAUAAUAAAGAUCGCUUUUGAGUGUAAUAUGACGGUUUGUGAGCUCAUUUCGUGUGGAAAUGAUGAAUUAAAAUGUGGGCUUUAUAUUGAAUUUAUGGAUAACAAAGAUUGAUUUUGAGCAUAAUAUGACGAUUUGUGAUGCUCAUUUCAUUUGGAAUUCAUUGAUUACAAUGUGGCUUUUAUAUUGAAUUUAUGAAUAGCAAGUAUUGCUUUUGAGCAUAAUAUGACAGUUUGUGAGACUCAUUUUGAGUGGAAUUGAUGGAUUAGAAUGUGGGCUUUAUAUUGAAUUUAUGGAUAACAAAUAUUGCUUUUAUGCAUAGUGUGCCGGUUUGUGAGAUUCAUUUCUUGUUGGAUUGAUGGAUUACAAUGUGGGCUUUAUAUUAAAAAAUUUCAUGUCAUAAAACGAUUCAAAGUUUUAAAUCAGAUAUAGUCAUCCACUAUUUUGACUAUGAUUAAAUAAUUCAAAUUAUGUUAGCUAUUCCUUAAUGUGAUGCAUAGCCAUGUUACAUAACCAAUAUCCUAGUUGUAAUCCCUCACUAUCAUUUUUGUGUUAAGAAAUAGCCAUGCAGAGAAUAAAGUAUUCAUCUUGUAUUAUAAGCAACAACUUACAUAUAAGGUUCGUAUGAGUUGAUGGAUUGGUUGCAAUUUUGAAAGCCCUAUAACUUGAGGUGGGCAUUCACCCUAAAGGGAACUAUUGGAUAACACAUUGAUUUUCUUGUUCACAGUGCAAGUUCCAUUAGGGGAUAUUUUGCGUUGUCCCACUUGAAAUUCUCAAAUUGCACUUUAAUUUUCUUGAUUUACUUUGCAAAUUCCAUAUAGAUAAAUUUUUAGUUGUCCCAUCAUAAAUAGGGUUGUCAAAGUGUAAUUUGACUUUCUUUGUUCACAGUAAGAAAUUUUGAGUUGCCCUUAUUUGGACAUUUGAUGAAUUAUUUGUAUAUAUUUU
Vigna angularis (adzuki bean) is the source of this 8233-nucleotide RNA transcript. RefSeq lists it as uncharacterized. The record is from RefSeq and is a predicted model, not a curated record. The transcript has 6 exons. NCBI's taxonomy places the organism in Eukaryota, Viridiplantae, Streptophyta, Magnoliopsida, Fabales, Fabaceae.